Molecule: unclassified non-coding RNA, 406 nt
Filed under: soil metagenome
Description: partial contains 5.8S ribosomal RNA, internal transcribed spacer 2, and large subunit ribosomal RNA
Rfam family: 5.8S ribosomal RNA (bases 1-121)
Source: RNAcentral
GAUUAAGAACGCAGCGAAAUGCGAUAAGUAAUGUGAAUUGCAGAAUUCAGUGAAUCAUCGAAUCUUUGAACGCACCUUGCGCCCUUUGGCCAUUCCGAAGGGCAUGCCUGUUUGAGUAUCAUGAACACCUCAACUCUUCAUGGUUUUCCAUGAUGAGCUUGGACUUUGGGGGUCUUGCUGGCCUGUGGGUCGGCUCCUCUCAAAUGAAUCAGCUUGCCGGUUUUUGGUGGGCAUCACAGGUGUGAUAACUAUCUACGCUUGUGGUUUUCCACCAGGGUAACCUUCAGCAGUGGAGGUUCACUGGAGCUUACAAAUGUCUCUCCUCUGUGAGGACAGCCCUUUGAAUGUUUGAUCUCAAAUCAGGUAGGACUACCCGCUGAACUUAAGCAUAUCAAUAAGCGGAGGA